UCCCUUGGUACCCAUCCACCAUUGGAUCACCCACUGCACAGCUUUCAAAGCGCUAUAAUGUCACUCAUCCAUCUGCACAUCUCUCAAAGCGACCGGUGGACGAUCCAAUGGACAUUUCACGAUAUCCGGCACGUUCGGUGGUUAAGCCGGCUCAAGGCAUACCACCGGUCCGCCGCAUAACAACUCAGCGUCGCUCGCGUAGGAGCUGAGGCCGGAGCGCCAAAACCCUGAACCCAUACUUCUGGGGUUUAUUUCUACUGACGUCCAGGAGCUUCUCCUGUCACCAAGAGUUUAUCAUUUAAGCGCACGCGGCCAUGUAGCUUCAGUUCUACAUAAAUGAGAAUGGGGACAAGGUGUACACCACCAAGAAGGAAUCGCCUCUUGGUGUGGCAACACAAUCUGCUCAUCCAGGUACAAGUAAAAUGGUUUAUCAUAACUUGUCCGCUUGAUUAUUUACUUUUUUAAAAAUCUUUUAUAGAAAAUAAAAGACAGAGAUCUAAAAUCACAUUACUUCAUAAAUGUGAUGUCAUGAAGACAUCUCCGUGAAGUAUUUAAAUAAGAAAACAUCAUUGUUAGUUGCAUUUCUCCUUGUUAAUUAGACACUUUACUAGCAUUGUUAUGAUAUUUGCUUUGAAAUCCAUUUGCAAGAAUGAAGCAUCUGGAGUGUGUGAUAUUUGGUUUAAUAUUUCGAAAAAGUUGAGUGUGAAACUUGCCUGGGGUUUCACAGGCUGAAUAAACAAGUUAUGUCAGGUAAUUCCAUUGCUUCUGAUUGUGGCCAGACUAGUUUCUGAAGAUGCGAGUCCUAUUCAAUGUGGUACCUAGCCUAUAAUCAAAUGCAUAAUGCAUUAAAUGGGUAUUGGGUACAUUGCAUUGAUUAUAUUCUGUUGAUCUAAUCAUGCUUUUGACCCUGGACUGCUCAUUCGAGGUCAGUGCGUGUAGUUUAUGUAAGGACCAUUGAGUUGCACAUUGAUCAGAUCUUGAUACAGUAGCUUGCAUGUAAAACUAUUGAUAACAAUAGCUCUCAUCCUUUAUGCCCCUCAUUUAGAUGCAAAGGACCAAUGAAAACCUCCAAGUCAUGCCAGUGCAUUCCAUUACCAUUUGUAUCUCUUUUCUUUCGUGUUCCCACCAAAUGUUCCAACACUAUCUGUUGGGAGAAGGCUUUAUGGCUAUGGUUAUGGUCAGGGUUUAGUGCAUCGGUACCGGAGCUUGGAUUAGUCAGCCAGUGGUACGGUUUGGUACAUCCCUAUACCGUUUCAUAUUGAGUUUGAACUGACACAGCAGAGCGGAGGGAGAAGGAAAGAGAGGAAAAUGGAGAGAAGGGUGGAGGGAAGGAGAGG
This is a non-coding RNA of Elaeis guineensis (African oil palm), 1337 nucleotides long. NCBI's taxonomy places the organism in Eukaryota, Viridiplantae, Streptophyta, Magnoliopsida, Arecales, Arecaceae. The record is from RefSeq and is a predicted model, not a curated record.